Cannabis sativa is the source of this 1413-nucleotide RNA transcript. RefSeq lists it as uncharacterized. Lineage: Eukaryota; Viridiplantae; Streptophyta; Magnoliopsida; Rosales; Cannabaceae. The transcript is spliced from 2 exons. The record is from RefSeq and is a predicted model, not a curated record.
CUAAUCCAACAUCUAUUGGAUGUUGGAUCGGUUGGAUGACUAGAAUUAAUUAGAUCAGAUCGGAUGGUAAAAUUUAACAUCUAAUAUAUAGUUAGAUCGGAUUUAGAUAGACCUAAAAAUAUUGGAUGUGUUCCAAUGAACACUUAUAGGUGUUGUGUUUGACCAUAUUUUUUUUAAAAAAAAUAAUUUUUUGAAAACUCAAUUUAAAAAACAAAAGUCUCAAAACGUAAAGAAUGUUGUUUUCUAUUAAAUAAUUUUUUUUGUCGAACUUAUUUUUCUUUUUCUCAUAUUUUUUCUCACAUAUUUUUUUUUUCAUCAUUAGACCUAACCUUGUCAAGGGCUGGGUUCCUCGUACAGAUCGUCUGGGGUCCUUGUCUAAGUCUGGAGUUUGAGCUUGAGUUGGGUACUGGACCGAGAUCGGGGAUAACGUUCGUAGUUCAUGCCGAGGUUGGGGUUGGGUUCGUGUCUAAGGUGUGAAAUCUUGAAGUUUUUCUUUUUUUUUCUUAAUAAUCUAAAAUCAAUUUUUGAAAACAUUAAUUAAUACGUCUUUUAUUUUGAAAACUAUAAAAAAAUAUUUUCUAUUCUUAUUGCUGAAAAUACAUUUUUUUUAAAAAAAUAAAAAAAAUAAAAAACAAUACCAAACACUCUUAAAGGGUUAGUUAUACUAUUUUUUAUGUUUUUUGUUUGGUUGAAAUUCCAUUUUAUGUUGGUUAAACACAAGUUUCGUGCUCUCACAAGUCACAACAUAUAUGUGAUGAGGUUUUUGUUCUUUAUGGUUUUUGGUAUUAUUUAAAAUAUACUUUUUUUUUUUCUGAGUAAAAUAUACUUUUAUUGAAAGCUUUUAGGUGUAUCUAUAAAUGUAAGUUGAUGAUGAUACGGUACUUUUAUGGUGCAGUAUAUUUAUUACUUAAUUGCUACCUGUACAGUAAUUUUUUAAUUUUUUUUUAUAUUUAUUUAUAGUAGUUAUUAUUUGCUGCAAAUCAUGAAUUAAAUAUCGAGCUCUUUGGUUAGGUAGAUUCCUAAAAAUAUAUGAGGUAAAUAAAUAGCUUUGUCUUUAAAAUAUUUUUAGAAAGUAUCCAAGUUAGAUUUAACAUGAAGUCAUGAGUCAUAACACCAAACAUAAAAUUUUCACUAUUUGAAAAGAAAGGUUGAGUAUUGUUCUAUGUUUUAAUCUUGAAUAAAUAAAAAUACUAUUUUUAUUUUUUUCAUAAAAGAAAAAAUCCUACACUGUUUGCUAUCGGUCAACGGUCAACCAAAAGUCAAGAAUUAGAGCCUUCCAUCGUCGACUCCGUCUCUACCGGCCUUUCAUCUUGCUCCGGCGCCGAACUCCAGCCAACCUUAUAACCACGAAUAAACUCUGUUUAGUUUAUUCAGCUGAUGAUUUGGGAGUUGGGAGAGGUGUUUAUGUGUUUG